RNAcentral lists this long non-coding RNA (328 nucleotides) under Chinchilla lanigera (long-tailed chinchilla). Its description in RNAcentral is "lncRNA (ENSCLAG00000027647.1)". The record is from RNAcentral. Lineage: Eukaryota; Metazoa; Chordata; Mammalia; Rodentia; Chinchillidae.
GAACACUACUGACAAGAUCUGUUUGACCAAGUAUGGUCUCUGAGGUUCCUGUCUUCUCCAUAGAUGGGAUGCAGAUGACAGCUUGAGCACUUGAGAAAUCGGACAGACUCAAUCAACAUUUUUGGCACAUUGAUCUAAUCAGAAGAGAUGCCUUGAUAUUAAAUAAAAAGCAUGAACCAAAAACAACCUUUCCAUGUGCUGAAGAUCCUGGAGAUGAAGGUGACGGAGUACUGGACACCAUUCUGCAGUUGAGUAUGGCUACCCUGUAAAAAAAAGAAUUUAGGAAAUCACCUAGGUGACUCAGGACUAAAAUAAAGAAAUAAAAAAA